CUCCCUCUUUUCUCUCCGAUUGCUCCACUUCUCCACCUCUGGCACCGACAUCCCUCCUCCCUUCUCCUCCUUCUUCAUCAUCCUCUUUCUCCUUGCCCCUUUCUUCUCCUCAUUAUCCUUUUCUUUCAAGUUCAUCUAUGAGCCUUCUUCCUCCAUAGUGGCUCCUUUACCUCUGUCCAUUUCUUGCCAAUGACCCUUCCUCCCUCCUCCUCCCCUUUCUCCUCACCUACUUCUCCUCCUCUUUCUCUUCAAGCCCGCCCAUAAGCCGUCUUUCUCCAUGGUGGCUUCUUCUCUUCCACUUUUCCUCCUCCUCCAAGCCCGCCCAUAAGCUAUCCCUCUCCAUGGCAGCUCCCUCCACUUUCUCCCCUUUUUUAUUAGUGACCCCUCCUCCUCCUCUUCUCCUUUCUCAUCCACUUCUCCUUCUUGUCCUCCUCUACCUCUAAGCCUACCCACAAGCCCUCCCCUCUACCUUUGUCCAUUCAUCUUCAACGACCUCUCCUUCCCCCUCCUUUCUUUUCUCUUCAUCCAGUUCUUCUCUUCCUCCUCUUCCUCCAAGCAUGUCC
Molecule: long non-coding RNA, 563 nt
Filed under: Elaeis guineensis (African oil palm)
Lineage: Eukaryota; Viridiplantae; Streptophyta; Magnoliopsida; Arecales; Arecaceae
Description: long non-coding RNA (EGUI_LNC061780)
Source: RNAcentral